GCCAGAAAUGGCAUCAUACAGGAAGAUGAUGAGAAUAAGGUGUUCCAGUUCCUCAUGGGCCUUAAUGAAGCAUACAUGGGGGUAAAGAGUAACUUACUGAUGAUGCAGCCUCCUCCUACCCUUGACAAUGUCUACAAUAUGAUCCUCAAUGAUGAGAAACAGAGACAAGUCCAGUCCAUUUCUCAGUUUAAUCCAGACUCUACGUCUUUCAAUGUCCACACAAACAAACAUUCAGUUGGAAUCAAUAAGGUCACAGUGCCUAAUCCUUCUCCUUUCAGACAAAGAGUUAACUUUGACCCAGCUAGAGGUUCUUUAUUCUGUAGAUGCUGGAAAAAAUUUGGGCACUUAAUUGAUAAGUGUUACAAGAUUCAUGGGUAUCCACAAAGUGUAACAUUUAACAAGGGGAGGAGACAUGCUGCUGCUCAUCUCACUACUGGUAUGGAUUUCCCUUCUUCUGAAGGAAAUAUGUCUGCUCCUCAUGGAAAUCCUCCUGAAAGUCAUCACCCUGUUCCAAACAUGGAUGGCCAGAGUUCUAUUAUACCAGGGUUGAGCAGACAACAAUAUGACCAAUUGAUGACAUUGCUACAACAAACUCAGUUAGGGGACACCACUGCCCAGACUCCUCCUCCCAUGUAUGCUGCCAAUUUUGCUGGUACUAUACUAACUCAGAGCCCUGUAUCUGAUUCCAAAUUUUGCAUGCUUACUCACAUUAAUUCUGCCACCUGGAUAGUAGACUCAGAGGCAUCUAACCAUAUGACCUUUAAUAAAAAUUUACUCUUCAACCUCACACCUUUAACUGUGCCCUAUCUUGUAACUCUUCCUAAUUGAUAUAAAGUGAAAAGUGACAUGCACUGGAUCUUUUGCAUUAAAUCCAUUCAUCAUUCUUCAUGAUGUCUUAUUUGUUCCUUCUUUCAAAUUGGGGCCCUUAUCACACUCCCACAUCUUCUGGUUCUAGGUAUUUUCUUACAAUAGUUGAUGAUUUCUCUAGAGCAACCUGGACACAUUUACUGGGGUCUAAAAGCAAUGCUUUCUGUCUGCUUAAAUCGUUUCUAUGCAUGGUUAAAACCCAGUUUCAUGCUGUUGUUCAAACUGUUAGAAGUGAUAAUGCUUUGGAAUUGUGGUCUAGCAUUGAUGGUGCAUCCUUCUUUAGUCAACAAGGCAUUAUUCAUCAAACAACAUGUCCCCAUACUCCUCAACAGAAUGGUGUUGUUGAAAGAAAACAUAGGACUCUUCUUGAGACCUGUAGAGCCCUACUUUUUCAAUCUUGCUUACCAAUCUCUUUCUAGGGAGAUUGCUUGUUGACUGCUACCUAUCUACUUAACAGGAUACCCUCCAGACUCCUUCAUAAUAAAUCUCCUUAUGAGAUUUUGCGUGGAAAGGCACCUACUUACUCCCAUUUAAGGGCAUUUGGCUGCCUUGCCUAUGCUGAUGUCCCAAUUCCUCAAAGGGACAAUCUUAUGAAAUUUUGCAUGGAAAUGCACCUACUUACUCCUAUUUAAGGGCAUUUGGCUGCCUUGCCUAUGCUGCUGUCCUAAUUCCUCAAAGGGACAAGUUGAAACCUAGGGCCAUUUCCUGUGUCUUCCUAGGGUAUCCUUCUGCUAAAAAGGGUUAUAAACUGUAUGAUCUCACUUCCAAAAAGUGCUUUGUGUCCAGAGAUGUUGUCUUUCAUGAAACUUCUUUUCCUUUUAAAACUGUUUCUUCUGUUAACCCUACUCCUUCUGUUUCUCCCUCUUCUUUUCCUUUUGUUCUUCCUCUUGAGCAUUCCCUUUCUGAGACAGACUUGUCUAUCCCUAUUUGUUCCUCUCCUCCUUCUCCUUCUGCCCCAGUUUCUCCUUCUUCUAAUUGAGUUUCCAGUCCUCCUUUCAACCCUGAUAUUUCUCCUCCUGCUUUGCCCUCUUCCACAUCACCUAAUGUUCCCAGAAAAUCUGGAAGACAACACAAUCCUCCUUCUUAUCUUAAGGAUUAUGUCUGUUAUCUUUCUGCCUUCUCUGGAUCUUCUUCUUCUUCUCUAGAAUCUGAACCUCUCUAUUAUUCUCAAGCUGCAUCAGUUCCAGUAUGGCAGGAUGCCAUGAGAAAGGAGUUUGAUGCUUUGGAUGCCAACCAUACAUGGGAUGUUGUUCCACUUCAUCCUGGUAAGAAACCCAUAGGUUGUAAAUGGGUUUAUAAGAUCAAAUAUAAGGCUGAUGGUAGUGUUGAAAGAUAUAAAGCUAGACUUGUUAUUAGAGGGGAUACUCAAAUUGAAGGAGUUAAUUUCACUGACACUUUUUUUCCUGUGGUUAAA
RNAcentral lists this long non-coding RNA (2281 nucleotides) under Nicotiana benthamiana. RNAcentral's name for it is "long non-coding RNA (NBEN_LNC014033)". The record is from RNAcentral. Lineage: Eukaryota; Viridiplantae; Streptophyta; Magnoliopsida; Solanales; Solanaceae.